GUGAAGGAGCAGCAGCAGCAGUGCCGCCGGCCGGGUGCAGUGAGAGUUGUAAUGCGCGGCUCAAGUCUUGGAACCAGUGUGGCCACUGCCGCAGUUUCCACCGUCGCUUCGGUUCUGCCCACAGGAUGGAUUAUCGGGCGCCAUUGUUGUGUGGUGCGUUGUUUACAGGACAAAGUGAGAGCGCAGCGAGAGUGAGCGAGCGAGUGAGUGAGUGAGUGUGAGAGUGAUCACACGAAUGAAAAAAAAAUCCCGUCCCCGUUGUGUGCUUUUUCCCGUGCUGUGUGGAGUGAGUGGAGUGUUUUACGCCCUUUAUUGGGACUUACGAGUUUAUGUGUGCGUAUUUUUUCACUGUUUAUUUCUGUGUUGUAACCGUCGAUCAUAUUAUCCCAUCUGCACUGUGUGUGUGUGUGCUUUUGGGAAGGAUUAAAUCUUUUUUUGUUGGUUCGACGCCGAGUUUUGGGGCCUGAUUCUAUUUGUUUCUACUUUUUAGCUCCUCCAAAUGGCGCCCCACUGGUCACUUUGAUGGUUUCAAGUAUCGAACAAAACACUUGAAGCGCCCAAUGUUGCCCCUUUUUUGUUUCACCUUCGGUCGAUUUGUGUGCGUGCGCGGAUACGAUACGGUGAGAAAGAUUAACCUGAAAGAUGUGUUUUUGUUCGAUAGAAUAAAGAGAUAGGCUUUAUUUAUGGAAUUAUCUUAAAUACGAUGCUGAUAAAAUUAUACAAGUGUGGACGGGGGCGGUCCGGUGGCCGAGGCGACAGCGGCGCCGGUCUUCUCACGGCAGGGCCGGGGUUCAAAUCCCAUCCAGACCGCCUCCCCGUACGAAAGGCUGACUACUUUUCUACGGGUAAAAUUAAGUCACAGAAAGCCAGAAAUGGCAGGCCGAGACCUCUCGAGGUUGUAGUGCCACAGAAGAAGAAGAAGGACUUAUCAAAGAAAUGCGAAAUAAUGGAUUAAGGCAUGAAAAAUUUAGGAAACUGGCCAUUACAUACGAAAACACCAAUCGGCCAUCGAAAAGCGCCGAAGCGAAUUCGACACCGUCAACCAGAAAAAGGGCUUAGUAAACAUUUUAUCGAUCAUAAUAAAUUUAAUAAGAAAAGUUGUGUGAACAUUUCAAUAAAAUUUGUUUUUU
This is a long non-coding RNA of Anopheles stephensi (Asian malaria mosquito), 1130 nucleotides long. RefSeq lists it as uncharacterized. The transcript is spliced from 2 exons. Lineage: Eukaryota; Metazoa; Arthropoda; Insecta; Diptera; Culicidae. The record is from RefSeq and is a predicted model, not a curated record.